GAUGAACGCUGGCGGCGUGCCUAAUACAUGCAAGUCGAGCGAACAGACGAGGAGCUUGCUCCUCUGACGUUAGCGGCGGACGGGUGAGUACCCGUGGGUUACCCACCUUUUAGGCUGGGGUUAACUUCGGAAACCGGGGCCUAUUACGGAAUAUUUAUUUAACCGGCUUGGUUAAAUGUUGAAGACGGGUUUUCCUGUCAUUAUUGAUUGAACCGCGCCGCAUUAGCUAGUUGGUAAGGUAACGGCUUACCAAGGCAACGAUGCGUAGCCGACCUGAGAGGGUGAUCGGCCACACUGGAACUGAGACACGGUCCAGACUCCUACGGGAGGCAGCAGUAGGGAAUCUUCCGCAAUGGGCGAAAGCUUGACGGAGCAACGCCGCGUGAGUGAUGAAGGUCUUCGGAUCGUAAAACUCUGUUAUUAGGGAAGAACAAAUGUGUAAGUAACUAUGCACGUCUUGACGGUACCUAAUCAGAAAGCCACGGCUAACUACGUG
This 496-nucleotide ribosomal RNA is filed under the name uncultured bacterium. RNAcentral's name for it is "partial 16S ribosomal RNA". It matches the Rfam family "Bacterial small subunit ribosomal RNA", at positions 28 to 507 of the family's 1533-position model. The record is from RNAcentral.